GCGGUGAGUGCUUUGGGGUGGGGUGACUGCGUACCUUUUGUAUAAUGGGUCAGCGACUUAUAUUCUGUAGCAAGGUUAACCGUAUAGGGGAGCCGAAGGGAAACCGAGUCUUAACUGGGCGUUAAGUUGCAGGGUAUAGACCCGAAACCCGGUGAUCUAGCCAUGGGCAGGUUGAAGGUUGGGUAACACUAACUGGAGGACCGAACCGACUAAUGUUGAAAAAUUAGCGGAUGACUUGUGGCUGGGGGUGAAAGGCCAAUCAAACCGGGAGAUAGCUGGUUCUCCCCGAAAGCUAUUUAGGUAGCGCCUCGUGAACUCAUCUUCGGGGGUAGAGCACUGUUUCGGCUAGGGGGUCAUCCCGACUUACCAACCCGAUGCAAACUGCGAAUACCGAAGAAUGUUAUCACGGGAGACACACGGCGGGUGCUAACGUCCGUCGUGAAGAGGGAAACAACCCAGACCGCCAGCUAAGGUCCCAAAGUCACAGUUAAGUGGGAAACGAUGUGGGAAGGCUCAGACAGCCAGGAUGUUGGCUUAGAAGCAGCCAUCAUUUAAAGAAAGCGUAAUAGCUCACUGGUCGAGUCGGCCUGCGCGGAAGAUGUAACGGGGCUAAACUGUGCACCGAAGCUGCGGCAGCGACGCUUAUGCGUUGUUGGGUAGGGGAGCGUUCUGUAAGCCUGCGAAGGUGUCCUGUGAGGGAUGCUGGAGGUAUCAGAAGUGCGAAUGCUGACAUAAGUAACGAUAAUGCGGGUGAAAAGCCCGCUCGCCGGAAGACCAAGGGUUCCUGUCCAACGUUAAUCGGGGCAGGGUGAGUCGACCCCUAAGGCGAGGCCGAAAGGCGUAGUCGAUGGGAAACGGGUUAAUAUUCCCGUACUUGGUGUUACUGCGAAGGGGGGACGGAGAAGGCUAUGUUGGCCGGGCGACGGUUGUCCCGGUUUAAGCGUGUAGGCUGGUUUUCCAGGCAAAUCCGGAAAAUCAAG
This 980-nucleotide ribosomal RNA is filed under the name Salmonella enterica. RNAcentral describes it as "partial 23S ribosomal RNA". It matches the Rfam family "Bacterial large subunit ribosomal RNA", at positions 570 to 1554 of the family's 2925-position model. The record is from RNAcentral. Lineage: Bacteria; Pseudomonadati; Pseudomonadota; Gammaproteobacteria; Enterobacterales; Enterobacteriaceae. RNAcentral also lists the same sequence under 1 other name.